AAACAGCCCCAGGCCUUGGGAGAUGCAACCAAAUAAAACACAGAGAAGGAGCCGGGGCUGGGGUGCAUUUGCCUGAUCACUGCAGGCACCCGUCCCACCCCAAUCCUGGUGUGCAGCAACUCUGCUCCAGAGCCAUUUAAAGCUCUAACUUUGCUGUCUCCCCAUCGUUCCCAGCACUGUCAGGUAUCCAUGGCAAAGGAGGAGCAGACCCCUCCCUUCAGCCUGUGGUUCAGACAGCAGCUCUGGGAGCUGGAGGGCAACUCGACCUCUUUAAAUCAGACUUUCCCUAAUGAAAGCUGCAGCUAAAAUAUGAAAGAGGAUUAAGCAAGGAUUAAUAAAGGAAAGGUAGACAA
Molecule: long non-coding RNA, 353 nt
Organism: Vidua macroura (Pin-tailed whydah)
Lineage: Eukaryota; Metazoa; Chordata; Aves; Passeriformes; Viduidae
Exons: 2
Source: RefSeq, a predicted model, not a curated record